RNAcentral lists this transfer RNA (39 nucleotides) under Uperoleia saxatilis (Pilbara toadlet). RNAcentral describes it as "partial tRNA-Trp". Lineage: Eukaryota; Metazoa; Chordata; Amphibia; Anura; Myobatrachidae. The record is from RNAcentral.
AGAAACUUAGGCUAACCAGACCUUGGGCCUUCAAAGCCC